UUCUUGAAUAUGUCCCCGAGACCGUUCAUAGAGUGAUCAAACAUUAUAACAAGAUGAACCAAAGGAUGCCACUGAUAUACGUUAAACUCUACUUUUAUCAGAUCUGCAGAGCUCUUUCAUACAUUCAUAAUAGUAUUGGAGUUUGCCACAGAGACAUAAAGCCUCAAAACUUACUGGUUAAUCCACACACCCACCAACUCAAGCUUUGUGACUUUGGCAGCGCAAAAGUCUUGGUUAGAGGCGAACCAAAUAUAGCUUACAUUUGUUCUAGAUACUAUCGA
RNAcentral lists this unclassified non-coding RNA (281 nucleotides) under Hevea brasiliensis (rubber tree). The record is from RNAcentral. Lineage: Eukaryota; Viridiplantae; Streptophyta; Magnoliopsida; Malpighiales; Euphorbiaceae.